RNAcentral lists this ribosomal RNA (506 nucleotides) under uncultured bacterium. Its description in RNAcentral is "partial 16S ribosomal RNA". It matches the Rfam family "Bacterial small subunit ribosomal RNA", at positions 29 to 523 of the family's 1533-position model. The record is from RNAcentral.
AGUGAACGCUGGCGGUAGGCCUAACACAUGCAAGUCGAACGGCAGCACAGGAGAGCUUGCUCUCUGGGUGGCGAGUGGCGGACGGGUGAGGAAUACAUCGGAAUCUACUCUGUCGUGGGGGAUAACGUAGGGAAACUUACGCUAAUACCGCAUACGACCUACGGGUGAAAGCAGGGGACCUUCGGUCCUUGCGCGAUUGAAUGAGCCUAUGUCGGAUUAGCUAGUUGGCGGGGUAAAGGCCCACCAAGGCGACGAUCCGUAGCUGGUCUGAGGGGAUGAUCAGCCACACUGGAACUGAGACACGGUCCAGACUCCUACGGGAGGCAGCAGGGGGGAAUAUUGGACAAGGGGCGCAAGCCUGAUCCAGCCAUACCGCGUGGGUGAAGAAGGCCUUCGGGUUGUAAAGCCCUUUUGUUGGGAAAGAAGUCCAGCUGGCUAAUACCCGGUUGGGAUGACGGUACCCAAAGAAUAAGCACCGGCUAACUUCGUGCCAGCAGCCGCCGUAA